Molecule: long non-coding RNA, 8473 nt
Organism: Gallus gallus (chicken)
Lineage: Eukaryota; Metazoa; Chordata; Aves; Galliformes; Phasianidae
Source: Ensembl
AGAGGAAGGCAGCGGGUGGCCUGGUAGCAGGCAGUUAGCUGCUUCCAGGUGGCACCAGCGGAACAUUUUGCUUUAUCUAUCUGAGGAAGAAAGAGGAUCUGUCACUCAAGUCAUUCAGACAAAGUUUCUUUUCACUCUCCUGGAAGUGUUUGACUGUACCUGGAGGUUUUCUUGCUGUUACCCAAGAAAUAAAGAUUUUUAUCAGUGGAAUAACCAGGACUCCUUUAUUUCAGUUCUGUUGAAACACGAGGCCAGUGAUGAUGGGAGGAGUUGGCAGCCUGUACAGGAUGACAUGAAAAACAAUUUGCUGAGCCUUGCUAUUGAGAUAAGGACAAAGGGCUGGGCCAGCUCUGGGGGCAGCAUGCAUGGCUCACACAAGGUCUGCAGCUCAGUGAGAGCUGGGAUGGCAGAGGGGCAGUGAUGGGAGAUGGUUCUGAAGUAGGGGUUGUGGAAAGAGCAUCUAAAAGACAAAGCAGAGAUGGCAGUGAGUAUGAAUGGUGGGGGCUUCUGGGUUAUAAGAAUCUGUGAGGGAGGAACAGAUAGAAAAUCUGCAGUACAAAACCAAGUGCAUGAAAUUCAUCAAGACAUGUUAUUGUUUAAAAAAAAUAAAAAGCUGAUAUUUUUGGUGCAGUUCAGCAGGCAGUCAUUUGCUUGAAAUUACACAGAAAAGAUGGAUUUAACUUCCCUGCUGAAAUACAUCUCUUUGCUUGAUAUCAGUCAAGUGGGCAGGACAAGACUGCUCAGGAAGCUUUGCAAUGCAUGAUUUCGUAAAGAAGUUAGCAGGGACAUCCAAAUGUCUUUAGUGACCUAAUAUUAAUUCCUUUUAGCCAGCAGAUGGAAUUGGAAUAUGCUGGUAGCAAGCAUUACAUAUCAUACCAUAAUCAUAGAACCAUAGACUUAAAGAAUAGUAGAAUCAUAAAAUAAUUAGGGUUGGAAAAGACCACGAAGGUCAUGUAGUCUAACCACCAAACUAUCAUUUAUUUUACGUAAGAUGCAGAGCCACAAAAAUAUUUCCUUCAGGAUAGUUGAGAAAAAUCCAAAGGAGCGAUCUGCAGAUUCCUGCUAUGAGAAACACUGGGGAGUACAGAAUGGGAGCCUGUAGUGUAGUUUUGAAAAUGAAAGGUAGGAGCACAAAAUAAUUGCCGGUCAAAUUUCAGAGAUGUCAGUGUGUUUGCACCCAUGUGGCACAAUUGCUCUCCGUGGGGUAAGCACUAGGCCUUGUUGCGUGAAGUCUGAGCAUCUCUGCCUCCAGAAACACAGCACUGGCCCAAGUUUAGCACCAGUGAAGUUAUUUGUACAGAAGCAAGUAAUGUAAAUGAGAGCUCCAAAAAAUAUCCAGUCAGAAAUAUCCUCAGAGGUGUUAAACAGAAGGAGAAAGAAAAACCAUUUACAGUUGCAAACUAUUUUUAAAGAUGAUUUCAUAGGCACCAAAAUAUUUUUCUAACCUCUUCCUGGCUGCACUUUAACAGUGGAAACGUAUUUCUUUGUGCCUGGCAUUCUCUUUUGCUAGUUGCACUCACAAUUACAGGGGAAGAAACAGUGUCUUUGUAUGCAGACCACCUCCCCUUCUCCCCAGGCUUUGGCUUUGUUCUCCAGAGCAACAGCCCUGAGUGGGCCUCCAUCCCCGCUCAAGCCAUGAGAUGGUUAGAAAUGCUGAAGAAACACACGGAAGUCCUCAGGGUCCGUGAAGACGAAACUCCUGGGUGGAAUAACCAGAAGUAUGUUGGAAAAUGCAAAUAACUGGUGACCCCAUGACUUCUUUCAAUGCAGUAAAUGGUUCUCCAUUAGAUCACAAACAAACACGUGUUUGACAGUCUCUGUUCAUGAUAUUAUUUCCAACCAUAGCAUCCCAAACAGUUAAGCUGCUGUACACAAACACUGAGAUACACAUUUGUUGUCCCUGAGGAAGUAUAGCAUGAAAAGGUGAAAGGAAGAAGGAAUCAGUCUAAGCAUAGGUGGAAUUAGACCAUAGCAGGUGAAAAAUCUCUUCAAGAAUACGAGAUUAAUAAGACAAAAAUAUCUAUCAGUGAGGAUUUUACUGGCCAAAGGUGUUCCAAGUUCUGGUACUUUGCUUGGACAGCUACUUUUAGUCCUAUCAUCAGUGGACAUGAAAAGCUCUUUCUCCUUUUCUCCUGUGCAACUACUUUCUAAGUCUACACUGCUUCCUGUAAGUCUUCUUGUGUAAAAGAUCGAACAAACCAUAUUUCUGCAUUCUUUCCUUAGCAGCUGUGCUUUCCACAGCUCAGAUUGUGCUUUCUGUUCUCUGAACAGCCAGCCUGGUUGUUUUAAGUGGACCAGUUAGCAGAGGUGAUUUAGGAAACAGGAGAAUACAGAUGAGAUAUUGAUAUACACUUAGGAUCAAAGUAGAUUAAAUACUGAGAAAAAAAAAAGAUGCAUUAAAUAAGCAUUUAUUUACUUUUAAAAAAACCCUCCCCAUCUACCUUUACCCUCACAUUCACUGUACACAUCCACCCAGCCCAGUUACCCUUUCUCCUCUUAUUUCAGCAGCUGUAGCAUUAGUGACAGUUAGUUUAAUUGCCUAAAACCAAAGCACCUGCCUCAGAAGUGGCUUGUCUUACAAAAAUCGAGGCCUGCUGAAACAUUUUGAGGAAAACAUUUGUUUCAUUUUGUGUGAUAUGGAUCUUCCCUUGAGUCAAGGACAGAAGAUAAAGGAGGAAAGUUUGACAUUUUGACUUCAGUCUGGAAUGCAGGUAAAGGCUUGAAAUACAAACUCCUUAGUGAACAGAUUUGAUUAAGAUAUCAUUUUAAACUGCUGUCUCUUUUUUCUUUAUUUAUUUGUAACUGUGAAAGAAAGACAAAUAGUCUUAUCUUUACCAUUGGGGGAAGAAAAGAUAUAAGCUGGCAGUUCUUGCUGAGGAAGUCUGAGCGACUUUGAUGGCUCCAGUGAAAGCUUGUUGAUUCGUUUGAUCUUUUGUUGACUAACUGUGGGUUUGGGAAUGUUACAAUCCAUGUUUACAUAAUGUUGCUUAACUGAAAAGCCUCACCUCGGGUGAAAAGACACAGCUGGAUUUAAAAGCAAGCUAGGCCAGGUUAAAAAGAAAAAGAAGUUAUCCUAGUUAUGACGUUUCAAUGGGAAUGCGUGGGUUGUAUGACCAGCAUACAAAGAAAUGUGUGUGUGCCACCAGGAAACAGGGCAAAUAGACUGGGAUUUGGUCGUACCCCUUGUAGUUUGAAGCCAACUGAGAGUUCAUUCUAGAGCCAAAUAACAUUCUCUUUGAGGCUUAUUUGUUAAAGAAGCCAAUUCAAAUAAUGCUACCUAAGCCCUAGGCUAAUCCUCCCCAGGAAAAUUUGCUUUUACAUUUCCUUUGUCACUGUACUGUCCCAGUCCCAGACCUUUCCCAUCAGCUAAACUUUUCUAAUGCUGAUACUGGGACUUAAAGAAUUAGUGCUUGGGAAAAUAACCAGCUAAUCACCAGUAACUGUAUUAUGGAUACACGUACACAACUGUGGUGUCUGGCCACUGAGUCACCGCUGUGUCCAACUACAAAGACCAAGACAGUAACAGGGAUGUUGUGCCAGAUCAAAAGAAAGAAGUCGUGUUAUAUUAUAGCAUCUAAUCAAGGUGUUAGCUGUAAAUAGCUUAUUAAAUAAUAUGUAUGCUAUAAAUACAUUAUACAAUAAAUAGCAUUAGUGUAUGCUUAAUAUUUAAAGCAGAUGGUUUUGCUGCUUCAGAGAGAUUAGGCUCCCAGCCUGUCCAAGUAUAUGCUCUUAACUGAUGCUUUGGACCUGUAGGCACCUAGGAAUUGGAUUCACAGGAGUCAGAAAUAGAACAAAAGGAAAUACUGUAAUGGUAGAAAGGGCUACGGGGGAAGUCAGAGUUCAAGGUUUGCACCUGUAAUUAACUGCAAAGGGACAAAAUUCUUAAUUGAGAGUUGCUGUCUAUACAGCUACAAACAGCACAAAAUAAUUGCAUGAGUAUCUGCAAUGGUUUCCUGCAGAGGUCCUCAUGUCCACACUUUAUGCAGUUGUGGACUGUAUAUUUAAAGUAAGAAGUAGCCUGGUCUCUUGAACAGAAUGUCCCCACCAGGCAUGUAGAUUGAAACAAUAUCGAAAGGGUAUGGUUUGAGACCCCUGUGUCACUGUGGUUUGUUCCAGGGCAGAGGUUUUGGUUUUGUCUUCCAGCAAAGCAAUCUUGCUCGCUAAGCCACUCCAUGAACUGAGUAAACUCUGCAGUGGAAGGAAUAAUUGGGGGAUUGCUUCAGAACUGCACACUGCUCCAAACCAAAAUCCAAUGUAACAUCGUCAAAGUUUAAAGCAACAGAGAGGGCCCCAUCUGCUUAUCUUCAGCAUUGCCUGAAACCACAGUUGUGAGGGCUCUUGCCAAGGUCUAUGAGUUCAAGUUGUUCCCCUGCUUGAGGUGAACCAUCUUGAUAACACUCUGCUUCAGCAGAAGGAUAAGUGACGUUAUCUCCUAGUUUUGGUCUAUAGCUGAAGGUUAUGGAGGUCAGUUCAAGCCAUUAUUUUUCAUAUCCCCUUCUGCAUCAUUGUUCCUUCUUGGACAGCUGGUACCAGAGUAGAGCUUGGUGACUUUUAAUUAUUCACAUCAUUUUGUUCCUGAGUGUGCAAACUUUUCUAUUGAAUCCAGCCUGGUUUGUUGAAGUAACCAAGAUAAAAUAUGUAUGUAUGUAUUUAUUUAAUGCUGAUUUUAAACCACAGCUACUGGUUAGGUAGAAUUUUAUUAAAAUUGGUAAACUCUUAUUUUUCAGUGUCUUUGUGCUAUACUGAGUAUUUUGAGGUUAUAAACUGCUUGUUGCUGUGUUUGGAAAAGCAGCAAUUAAAUGUUAUUUUGUUCACUGGAGGAAAAGUGAGAUGUAAGAGACCCUGUAUAGCUUGUCCCUGAUUCAUCCUGCAACCUUGUCAUGGAAGCACUGACAAACUGCUUGUAGGCAGAUAGAGACAAGCAACCGUUUUCUGAUUGAGAAGUUUAAUUUUGAACUUUCUGUACGAUAAUGAAUGCAGUGUUCUUGCACUGUGGAGAUGGUUCCCCUCCAGCUGAAACAUUCGUUGAGCUCCCUAUAGACACUGUCCUGUUUGUUUUUUGGGAAAACCAUCUGGGAGCUCAUCAGAAUGAGAACCUCACAAUGUCUCCUGCAAUUUCAGCUCAAUCUGUAGGCUAACACAGGUCACUCCUUUCAGAGUGCUCUGCCUAAGUUCAACUAUUCCACUCUUUUUAUUCAGUCUCCAAGGAAACAGCUCCAAGCUGAGUUCCCUGUAAAGUCUGCUGCAGAAGUGCUGUAAUUCAGCUGUGGAGGCAGGUGCUGUAGAGCAAUGUACUUUUAGGGGUAUGUGUGCACACUUUGGUAUUUUUCACAUUACCAUGACAGGAAAAAGCAUAUUCAGAGGGGAAGAGGGACAGGUGAGAGGGAAGAAUCUGGGGAGGCUUUCUAACAAGCACUGGUUCUGUUUUCCCUGGUGGGUUGAGUAUAAAUGUUGCUCAGACAGAGGCAUUUUUGGCAAGAUAAGAUAGUUAUUAUUUUGUUGAGUAAACACUUGGAGGAGUAAACUCAAUGGGACUACAUUUGAAAUCAAUGUGAGAGCUCUCAGAGAACCCAGCAGACAUGCUGAAGAGCAAGCACAAGAUAAACACUCAGCAGAACCUUGAGGAGUGUUUCGCAGAGCUGAUUACCAGAUACAGACAUUUCAAGGAAUGAACAGCAGUGUUCCCUUAUUUUUUUAAGGAUUUGUGGACAAGUAAAACAGCUUUGUUAAACAGAAAAUUCCUUAUAUUUAUCAGCAUGUCAUUAAUAUAACCCCCUUAAUGGAGACAUAAUGGUCUGAAAGACAAUUCAGAGUGCCUUGGCUCUGCUCUGCCACUGCUAUGUUUGGUCAACAGUGGAGUAUACACCUUACAGUGACUGAGGAUUUCACUGAAUAAAGAGAUCUGUCUGAAUGUGCUACCAUCUAUGUAUAACUUGAGAAAAUGGCAUUUCUUUUCAUGAAAUGGUCUCAUUGCCUCAGAGAGAAAGACAGUUUUCAGAUUACAUUUCAUAUUUCAGUCCACAGUAGACUUGGCUUUAACUGUGAAGGCCUUCAUGGGGCCAUUUUCACCUCUGGAGCCAAUGGGCUCUCUUCUCCAGGCUGCAGCUAUUUAUUCAGUCUCCAGAAUAAAUGAAGAAGAGAUGGGACUACUGCCCCUGUGUUGGAAAUGUUCAACUGAUGGACUGGGAUCAAGGGAACUAAACUCUGUCUGCUGCUCAUGCUGGAUUUCUGGCCUCACCCAAGAUGUAAUGCAAUCUCAGUAAUUAUAAAAAAUACAUAAAAAAAACACCAUUUCUGUUACAGCUUUGAAAUGGAGCAUUUCUUACAGUAAUUCAGCUGCAGCCUUUGCAUAGAGUACAUGAAGACCCUGAUACUAUGUUUGUUUUCUUUCAUUUUAUUUAUUUAUUUCAACAGCAGAUGGACUCCCAAAACACUUCCACUGAUACCAGCAGGUUUACUGGGAUGAGAAUCAGUUUUAAAGACCUCAACCAAAGCAUGAUCAAAUGGAUGACGAAAACCUCCUGAAUUCAGCAAGGCCUAAGAGAGAUAUCAUGGGACUUCCUGAGACGUUUAGGUGAUAUUUACAGUGAUCUGCUGCUAGAGGAGCACUAAAUCACAGUUAUUUGUCUACUGGGAAUUUAAAUGCCUGGGAUGCAGUCCUACAUCAUUGCCUCAUCAGUCAUGGGGAAGCUGAAGGAAGAGUACAUUUGGACCAGGACAAGUCAAUACCAAGGGCUGUACUUUCAUUAAGGUAGCAGAAUUCUUAAAACAAAAUCUUGUCUUAGUAAGCGCCUGUUCUCUGCAAACCAGAUUCAAUUACACAGGUUUUUUAAAGGACAGUUUCAGAACAGACUGGGAUUUCUCUGAAAGCCAAAGGCCAGGAAAAAAGGAUUAAAUCACCAUGUUACAAAGCCAUGAUAUCUAGGUUGGAGGUCUGCAUGGAUUGAAAGGGGAUGCAUUCCCCCCUUCGAAGCAGGAAGCUAACCUGUCCAUAAGAGCUCAUGGAGAACGUGAAUUCAAAGUCAGGAGCAAUACUAGGAGUACUGGGGCUGACAUGGAGCAUCACUGUGCUACCUGGGCAUCCGGACCCACCAUCACAUCAGCCUGAGAUUUUCUGUGAUCACUGACACAGACAGAAGAAUUAAAACCUGAAGGAGGCUCUCAGGUGACAAAUGAGGUCUUGUCAAGGAGACUAAUAUCUCUUUUUCCACGUUCCAGUCUGUGAUCAUGGGAAGCUUCCUGGCUUUGGAGUAAGCUAGCUGCAGAGGUGAAGAUAUCUGAUGGAUGUUGUCAUGCUGAGAUGCUGCUGCUUCCAGUCAUGGAAGAGUGCAAACCCAAGAGCAUUCACAUUUUCAUGAAGACUUGAAUGCAGCAGUUCCAGAUUUUCAAGCUUCCUUUCUAAACCUACAGCAGCACUGCAUCUACUGAUGGGUGGAAGAACAGUGAGCCCUUGGAGAGUCGUUGCAAUUAUCCUUCUCCAGUUAUCCUGGCCCAGCACCAAUGUUCUUGCUUCUGCUGGAGGUGUGAAUAUGACUGUCAGGGAAAUGGACAGCCAGAAGGUAACUGGAAUAUACAUGCUUGAGAGCCAAGGCGUAUCCUUCUAGAAGGCCUGGAAUGUCUCUAGCACCAUUGAUGACAUGACCAUAAAACCAGUGAGAGGAGACAGGAACUACCAUGCACCUCUACAUUAUUUCAUAAUGAUUGGCUCCAAGCAAAGCCUUCCCUUGCAGAGACCUAAGUGCCUGUGCCCACUGGAAGAAAACUUGGCAGGAAACAUAAGUGGAAAAUUCUUAUUAGCACCUUUCUUUCCAUCUGAAUUUUCCUGACAGCCCUUAAAUCUUUGGGGGAAGCUGUAAACUUUGUAAUGAUCUUCUCAAUAGUAGCUAAAACUUUGCAUAUGCUGUUAUCAUAUUCUAUGUAGUAUUUCUGAAAAAAUGGUUUCUGGUCACACCAACACAGGGGAAGAAAUAUUUAUAUGUGGAUGUAAUUUCCCUUUCAUUCUAGAUGAAAUAAGGUUCCAGGGGUAUGAAAUUUUUAAUUAUUUUAAAUUCUUCCAGGGAACAUUUUAGAGGGGAAUGACUUUGUCUGUUGACAGUUCUAAGCUGUGAGAUGUCUUUACUGUCUUACAGUGUAUUAAUAAUUUUUUUCUUUCAAAGCCAAAGUUAACGCUAAUUGCCUGAAACUAACCUUCAAUUCAGAGAGCAUUGUCUCUUCUGCUCGGAUUUGCCUGAUUAAAUUUCUUUUAAAAACUCAAAUAUCGCUCUCCUUUCUCUUGUUAUCAUUCUCAAUAAAGCUUCAGAUUGUGGUUUGUACAAGGACCUUUUAUAGCCUUCACAGAAGGUAUAAUAUAAUUAUUACCAAUAUUUUCCUCUUACUUGGUCAUCUGCAAUCUGUCUUGGCUGCAUGUGCAAGAUAGAUUUUUGCAUGUGCAAAGGUUUACUGAGCUGCCAGUUUGCUCACAUCUCUAUUCUGG